Molecule: ribosomal RNA, 253 nt
Filed under: uncultured bacterium
Lineage: Bacteria
Description: partial 16S ribosomal RNA
Rfam family: Bacterial small subunit ribosomal RNA
Source: RNAcentral
UACGGAGGGUGCAAGCGUUAUCCGGAUUCACUGGGUUUAAAGGGUGCGUAGGCGGGCAGGUAAGUCCGUGGUGAAAUCUCUGAGCUUAACUCAGGAACUGCCAUGGAUACUAUUUGUCUUGAAUUUUGUGGAGGUAAGCGGAAUAUGUCAUGUAGCGGUGAAAUGCUUAGAUAUGACAUAGAACACCAAUUGCGAAGGCAGCUGGCUACACAAAUAUUGACACUGAGGCACGAAAGCGUGGGGAUCAAACAGG